GUCUCUUCGGAGACAUCCGAUAAAAUUGGAACGAUACAGAGAAGAUUAGCAUGGCCCCUGCGCAAGGAUGACACGAACAAAUCGAGAAAUGGUCCAAAUUUUU
RNAcentral lists this small nuclear RNA (103 nucleotides) under Citrus sinensis (sweet orange). Lineage: Eukaryota; Viridiplantae; Streptophyta; Magnoliopsida; Sapindales; Rutaceae. The record is from RNAcentral.